AGCGCUAGGGGAGCUAUUGCUGAGAACCCGAUAGAUAUCGGGGACCCUUACACCUGAACCGGGUAAUGCCGGCGUAGGAAAGCAAGGA
This 88-nucleotide non-coding RNA is filed under the name bovine gut metagenome. The record is from RNAcentral.